UGGGGAAUAUUGCACAAUGGGCGCAAGCCUGAUGCAGCCAUGCCGCGUGUAUGAAGAAGGCCUUCGGGUUGUAAAGUACUUUCAGCGGGGAGGAAGGGAGUAAAGUUAAUACCUUUGCUCAUUGACGUUACCCGCAGAAGAAGCACCGGCUAACUCCGUGCCAGCAGCCGCGGUAAUACGGAGGGUGCAAGCGUUAAUCGGAAUUACUGGGCGUAAAGCGCACGCAGGCGGUUUGUUAAGUCAGAUGUGAAAUCCCCGGGCUCAACCUGGGAACUGCAUCUGAUACUGGCAAGCUUGAGUCUCGUAGAGGUGGGUAGAAUUCCAGGUGUAGCGGUGAAAUGCGUAGAGAUCUGGAGGAAUACCGGUGGCGAAGGCGGCCCCCUGGACGAAGACUGACGCUCAGGUGCGAAAGCGUGGGGAGCAAACAGG
Molecule: ribosomal RNA, 429 nt
Filed under: Chloroflexota bacterium
Lineage: Bacteria; Bacillati; Chloroflexota
Also listed under: 1 other name
Description: Chloroflexi bacterium partial 16S ribosomal RNA
Rfam family: Bacterial small subunit ribosomal RNA
Source: RNAcentral